RNAcentral lists this ribosomal RNA (402 nucleotides) under uncultured bacterium. RNAcentral describes it as "bacterial SSU rRNA". It matches the Rfam family "Bacterial small subunit ribosomal RNA", at positions 355 to 774 of the family's 1533-position model. The record is from RNAcentral.
UGGGGAAUAUUGGACAAUGGGCGCAAGCCUGAUCCAGCCAUGCCGCGUGAGUGAUGAAGGCCCUAGGGUUGUAAAGCUCUUUUGUGCGGGAAGAUAAUGACGGUACCGCAAGAAUAAGCCCCGGCUAACUUCGUGCCAGCAGCCGCGGUAAUACGACGGGGGCUAGCGUUGCUCGGAAUCACUGGGCGUAAAGGGUGCGUAGGCGGGUCUUUAAGUCAGGGGUGAAAUCCUGGAGCUCAACUCCAGAACUGCCUUUGAUACUGGGGAUCUAGAGUUCGGGAGAGGUGAGUGGAACUGCGAGUGUAGAGGUGAAAUUCGUAGAUAUUCGCAGGAACACCAGUGGCGAAGGCGGCUCACUGGCCCGAUACUAACGCUGAGGCACGAAAGCGUGGGGAGCAAACA